UGUUGGGUUUGGGUUGAUCGGUUGUUAGUUUUUUUGUUGGGUUUGGGUUGAUCGGUUGUUAGUUUUUUUGUUGGGUUUGGGUUGAUCGGUCGUUAGUUUUUUGUUGGGUUUGGGUUGAUCGGUCGUUAGUUUAUUGUUGGGUUUGGGUUGAUCGGUUGUUAGUUUUUUUGUUGGGUUUGGGGUGAUCGGUCGUUAGUUUUUUUGUUGGGUUUGGGUUGAUCGGUUGUUAGUUUUUUGUUGGGUUUGGGUUGAUCGGUCGUUAGUUUUUUUGUUGGGUUUGGGUUGAUCGGUUGUUAGUUUUUUGUUGGGUUUGGGUUGAUCGGUCGUUAGUUUUUUGUUGGGUUUGGGUUGAUCGGUCGUUAGUUUUUUGUUGGGUUUGGGUUGAUCGGUCGUUAGUUUUUUUUGUUGGGUUUGGGUUGAUCGGUCGUUAGUUCUUUACAUUGUCUUUUGUAUUCCGUCUUUUUGUUCUUUUUGUUAUUCCCCAUGGCGUUGUCAGGUUAUUUGCGACUUAUAAGGAUGAAUGUAGAAAAAUAUGAUAACUAGAAGUUGCAUUAAAUAAAAA
This 562-nucleotide long non-coding RNA is filed under the name Mytilus galloprovincialis (Mediterranean mussel). The record is from RNAcentral. Lineage: Eukaryota; Metazoa; Mollusca; Bivalvia; Mytilida; Mytilidae.